This 115-nucleotide ribosomal RNA is filed under the name Larimichthys crocea (large yellow croaker). The record is from RNAcentral. Lineage: Eukaryota; Metazoa; Chordata; Actinopteri; Sciaenidae.
GCUUACCCAUACCACCUGAAUGGCCCGAUCUCGUCUGAUCUCGGAAGCUAAGCAGGGUCAGGCCUGGUUAGUACUUGGAUGGGAGACCGCCUGGGAAUACCAGGUGCUGUAAGCU